This is a non-coding RNA of Mycena rebaudengoi, 91 nucleotides long. The record is from the annotation of a GenBank genome assembly. NCBI's taxonomy places the organism in Eukaryota, Fungi, Basidiomycota, Agaricomycetes, Agaricales, Mycenaceae.
GCACCGGUGGUGCACGGUGCACGCUGCCAUUAAAUCCAGGUGCAUAAUUUAGUGUCUCGGGCAGACCGGGGUUUGAUUCCCUGCCGGUGCA